AUUGAACGCUGGCGGAAUGCUUUACACAUGCAAGUCGAACGGUAGACGGGGGUAACCCUCGAGAGUGGCGAACGGGUGAGUAAUAUAUCGGAACGUGCCCAGUCGUGGGGAUAACGUAGCGAAAGUUACGCUAAUACCGCAUACGAUCUAAGGAUGAAAGCGGGGGAUCGCAAGACCUCGCGCGAUUGGAGCGGCCGAUAUCAGAUUAGGUAGUUGGUGGGGUAAAGGCUCACCAAGCCAACGAUCUGUAGCUGGUCUGAGAGGACGACCAGCCACACUGGAACUGAGACACGGGCCCGACUCCUACGGGAGGCAGCAGUAAGGAAUAUUGGUCAAUGGACGCAAGUCUGAACCAGCCAUGCCGCGUGGAGGAUUAAGGCCCUCUGGGUUGUAAACUCCUUUUAUCUGGGAAGAAAUGCAUUUUUUCUAAAAUGCUUGACGGUACCAGAGGAAUAAGCACCGGCUAACUCCGUG
Molecule: ribosomal RNA, 474 nt
Filed under: uncultured bacterium
Lineage: Bacteria
Description: bacterial SSU rRNA
Rfam family: Bacterial small subunit ribosomal RNA
Source: RNAcentral